GACGAACGCUGGCGGCGUGCUUAACACAUGCAAGUCGAACGAAGUGGCGAACGGGUGAGUAACGCGUAAUCAACCUGCCCUUCAGAGGGGGACAACAGUUGGAAACGACUGCUAAUACCGCAUACUGAAGGAGGGGAUUGCGUCUGAUUAGCUAGUUGGGGGGGUAACGGCCCACCAAGGCGAUGAUCAGUAGCCGGUCUGGGCGGAUGAACCGCCAAAUUGGGGACGGGAACCGGGCCAGACUGCUACGGGAGGCAGCAGUGGGGAAUCUUCCGCAAUGGACGAAAGUCUGACGGAGGAACGCCGCGGGGGUGGUGACGGCCUUCGGGUUGUAAAGCUCUGUUAGUCGGGACGCGGUACCGGAAUAGAAAGCCACGGCUAACUACGUGCCAGCAGCCGCGGUAAUAC
Molecule: ribosomal RNA, 408 nt
Filed under: uncultured bacterium
Lineage: Bacteria
Description: partial 16S ribosomal RNA
Rfam family: Bacterial small subunit ribosomal RNA
Source: RNAcentral